This 277-nucleotide ribosomal RNA is filed under the name uncultured bacterium. RNAcentral's name for it is "partial 16S ribosomal RNA". It matches the Rfam family "Bacterial small subunit ribosomal RNA", at positions 28 to 306 of the family's 1533-position model. The record is from RNAcentral.
GACGAACGCUUGCGGCAUGCCUGAGAAAUGCAAGUCGAGCGGGAGUGAGGUUUCGGCCUCACUCUAGCGGCGAACGGUCGAGUAACGCGUAAGCAACCUGCCCGGAAGCGGGGGAUAAGCCGGGGAAACCCGGGGUAAUACCGCAUAGCUUGGGAGGAGGAGUCUCCUUUCAAGAAAGGGGAAAUCCACUUUCGGAGGGGCUUGCGUCCUAUCAGCUAGUUGGUGGGGUAACGGCCUACCAAGGCGACGACGGGUAGCUGGUCUGAGAGGACGGCCA